GUCCGGUUAGCAUAAAAGUAAUGUGGCUGAUUUGUAACCAGCUGAAGCAAGUGCGAUACUUGCACUGGACU
Molecule: transfer RNA, 71 nt
Organism: Erysiphe necator (grape powdery mildew)
Lineage: Eukaryota; Fungi; Ascomycota; Leotiomycetes; Helotiales; Erysiphaceae
Rfam family: tRNA
About the family: Transfer RNA (tRNA) molecules are approximately 80 nucleotides in length. Their secondary structure includes four short double-helical elements and three loops (D, anti-codon, and T loops). Further hydrogen bonds mediate the characteristic L-shaped molecular structure. tRNAs have two regions of fundamental functional importance: the anti-codon, which is responsible for specific mRNA codon recognition, and the 3' end, to which the tRNAs corresponding amino acid is attached (by aminoacyl-tRNA synthetases). tRNAs cope with the degeneracy of the genetic code in two manners: having more than one tRNA (with a specific anti-codon) for a particular amino acid; and 'wobble' base-pairing, i.e. permitting non-standard base-pairing at the 3rd anti-codon position.
Source: Rfam